GAUUUCUCAAGAUCAUUAUACAAGAUGUUGGCAAGAAUUCUAACGAUUGCACUCGUCAACAAAUAAAAGUCUGUCUUCUUCAUAAAUUAGAAUGUUAGAAAUUAGACUCAAAUGAAACCAAUUACAAAAUUCACAAACCAAAUCGAUAUAAUUAAAACUUAAGAUGACUAAAAUUUGAGAGCUCUUAAAGUUCGAGUCGAUGUUUGCAAUGUCCUCGGUAGGAAAGGCCCCCUUUUUCAAGCCGAAACUAAUUUCUGUUCCCAGUUUUGUCGUUUUGGUCAGAACACAACAAGCCCUCCUUUGAUGGUUACACCAAAACCUAAAUCCUUUUUAUCCCCUUUAUCGAGGUUUUCUGGUUCUGUCACUUUUACGGAGAGAAGAAAGAAGAGAUGGAGAAAUCUGACUGUGUCUUCGUCACAAACGAGGGUACGAGAAAGGCAAAGAAGAGACUGAUGGUGGGGAGAUAUGAUAUGAGUGUAUUUUUCUUUUCUUUUCAUCACAAACGAGAUGGAAAGGGUUUUUGGGGGCAAGAAUUACUAUGAUGAAUCUUUGAUUCUUUUCUUGUUAAUUUUCCCCAAGAAUGAACCAUCCAAUCUGAUUAUUACCUUCUUCAGAAACCACCCCUAUUCAUUAUUUACGUCUCUUCAACUUUCUCUCUCUUAUUUACUGUGGUGGCCUCAUCUUUCAUUUUAAAUAGUGCUCAACUGCCCUCCUUCUUAUCCCUCAUACUUGGUGCUAAUAAUCCAUCCCUUUCCUCUGCACAUGCCCCUCUUUUGUGUGGGCGUGAGUAAUUUCAAUGGUAAUUUGGUGUGUUCUUGAUUAGGUCAUGGCGGUUUAUCAAAGGGUUUCCUACAGAAUUUAUUGGCAUUCUGUCCACCUCCAUUCCUAUUAAGAAAGGAUUAAGAAAUUUUAAUCUGAUAUCAUAUAUGGAGGUGGGCAUACUGCCAACUGAGUUCUGUUGAAUUCUUUUUGUAAAACCCUUGUGACACACACUCUCUUGUUUUCAACUGUAUACAGACCAAGGUAACGACCCCCUUGCCAUAAAUUUGUGCAAAUUUUUUAAACCUUUUUGCCAUGCAUGUUAAUCUAUUUCAGAUGCUCCAUUUUUGUAUGUGUUAACUUUCUUGGCGUUAAAGUGUUCCUCGAAUUAAACAUAUGGUGCCUGUUUGUAUAUGUUUUUGGUUUCGUUUGGAUCUGUGUUUUGCAGCAAAUCUUGGGGCAAAAAGCUUCAGAAUCAGAUGAAUAGAAAGUAAAGAAUGGAAUAAAAUUUCUGCCAGGUACUGGAACCCUACUUUUGCGGAUUUUGUGUGUGAAUCAAUUAUUCUUUUCCUAGGAAAAUUUUAUCUGACUAGCUAGUUUAAUUUUAAGAUUUUGUCUCUUACAAGUUCUUGAUCACCUGCUUCGCAGCUCAACGGUCAAGAUCAUGAAAAGGAGAAAUGGAGCUUUCUCCUUUGAUUUUCAACCAAGAAUAAAAGUUAGCUGGAAAGUUUACCCUAGUAACAAUCGUUUUAUUGCCUUUUCAGUUUGAAUGUUCAAAUCCAGAUAUCUUUCUUCUUGUUCAAAAAACACACACAAAACACACAGUUUGUAGGGCAAGAAUUAUUAGGGCAGUGGCCAUCUGAGAAACCCUUCAUAUAUUGUAGGCUCAUGAUUGAAGUCUGACAUUGCCAUUAAAUUAUGGUGUAGCCCAUCAGGCAUCCGCUCCCAUUAAUUUUUUUCCCCCAAAGAAAUUUACUGACAGUAAAUCAUCAAAAAUCUAACAACCUAUUCGCAUUAAGUACCAUCCUUUAUUAGGUGUUGACGCCAUUUUACGGUAAAAUGAAUAGAUACGUGAAUUUUUAUUUUUAUUUUUGGUAACAUUGUUGAAUGGAUAAAGUGAAUAAAGCUUUAAUCUUUUAUUUUUUUUAAUUCUGUGGUAAACACAGACAAUUAUUAAUAUCUUUUCUUUUUUGUUCUAGUAAAAUAAAAAUUGUCAUUAUUGUUCAAAGUUGUAAAUGAAUCUGGAAUAAUAGUUUUUUACCAUUUGUGUAGAAUUUGUGAAUCAUUACUUCCUAGAAGUUAACAGGCCACCGAGUCAAAUCAUGAAAUGUGCAAAAAUUCUUUCAACCACUGAAAAAAGUGGUUAUAAUUAAUUUAUUACUGUGGUCAGCAUUGGUACAAAUGAUGUUUACCCCCACUUAUCAAACCUGAUUAUGCUUAAGCAAAUCAAGAUGUACCCUUAAAAAUAAACUUGGCCCUACCUCCUUUUUGUCAACAAAGAGUGUGGAUUCAAUCUUGAAAAUUUUAUCAUCUUCUAUGCUUAAGAAUUAAUAUAAUAUAAUAUAAUGUUUGUCACUUUUUGAAGUUUUAGAUAGAUGAAAGUGGUUCGACUUUUCACAUAUUUAACACGCUGAAUUAUGUUGUUUGGAUACAUUGGAUUAUUUUAUUAAUGAUAAGCAAUGGAGAUUUUUUUCUUGAGCCUAAAAGUGAAACUUCUAUUAACUUAAAUCAUACAAAAAUGGAGAAUACAAUUCUCAUAUAAAAACUUCUUGUAUGUUCAAGGUCGAAUUUUCAAAUUGUCAGUGAGCAAUCAGAAUGGUAGACCCAUCACGACUAAAAAAGAAAAUCAUAUUAAAUUUGAUGCAUUGUAUCAAAUAAAAUGUAUAAAAUAAACUUCAUUUUUAGUUAUAAAUUGAAGAUGUCCUUUGUUGGUUCAAUUGAAAAAGUUGAUUAAAAUUUGAGUUAAUGUUAACAAUUAAAUUUUAAUUAUAGAUUUUACGGGAUUCACAAUUUUCCGAUCGUAUAUCUUAUUAACUUUUAAUAAAAUUUAUUGAAAUUUUGAUUUUUACCUGAAAUAAAGAGGGGCUAAGUAAGUAAACUCUUUGUUACUAAUAUCAAUCUUGGCAUUGCAUUUUGUGGACUUGUUGGUGUACUCAGUUACCAUUCUGGUGCUAGAAUAUCCCAAAAUCCUUUUUCCAGCCUUCUACAGUUCUACGCGUGAAGGAUGACAUGUUCAAACUAUUCCUUCAUUAAAAUGUGCCAAGCCCCAAAACUUUUUCUCCUGCUGAUGUCUUAUUUUUAAGCACGAGUUGAUGUAGAAUGCCUGUAAAAAUGCGUAUAUCAGUGUUUUUUAAUUUUUAAUCUAUAGAUAUGACAAAGUCUCAUUCUUUACAGAUGGUUUGGGCAACUUGCAUUUAGCCAAUACAUUUGUGGAGAUUUUUGGCCAUCCAUUCUUGACUCUAUUUGAAGGUGCGCUUUUUCUUCCCUGUUAAUCAAUCUUAUUUCAUUCCCAUUUUUUCAUGUGAAAAUGUUAAUCAAUCACAUUCAAGUUAUGUGUAAAGAAAUUAGGCCUCUUAGCCAUGUAUAUAAAGUAUAAUUAUUUAUGUUUCAGUCAUCCUUGUGCCUCUUUAAAUGUAAUAUUAUUAGGGUACUGCUAUUUCUAUCCACGCUUUUUAUAAGUACAUCCCACUCUAAGUUAAU
This 3459-nucleotide long non-coding RNA is filed under the name Olea europaea subsp. europaea. The stretch from base 849 to 962 matches the Rfam family "MIR394 microRNA precursor family". The record is from RNAcentral. Lineage: Eukaryota; Viridiplantae; Streptophyta; Magnoliopsida; Lamiales; Oleaceae.